UACGUAGGGCGCAAGCGUUGUCCGGAAUUAUUGGGCGUAAAGAGCUCGUAGGCGGCUUGUCACGUCGGGUGUGAAAGCCCGGGGCUUAACCCCGGGUCUGCAUUCGAUACGAGCAAACUAGAGUGUUGCAGGGGAGACUGGAAUUCCUGGUGUAGCGGUGAAAUGCGCAGAUAUCAGGAGGAACACCAACGGCGAAGGCAGCUAGCUGGACGAGAUCCGACGCUCAGGCUCGAAAGUAUGGGGAGCAAAAAGG
RNAcentral lists this ribosomal RNA (253 nucleotides) under uncultured bacterium. RNAcentral describes it as "partial 16S ribosomal RNA". It matches the Rfam family "Bacterial small subunit ribosomal RNA", at positions 524 to 776 of the family's 1533-position model. The record is from RNAcentral.